This is a non-coding RNA of Acanthosepion pharaonis, 110 nucleotides long. The record is from the annotation of a GenBank genome assembly. Lineage: Eukaryota; Metazoa; Mollusca; Cephalopoda; Sepiida; Sepiidae.
UAUGGCCAAAUCACGUUGAAACACCGGUUUCCGUACGAUCACCGAAGUUAAGCAACGUCGAGCCUGGUCAGUUUUUGGAUGGUUGACCUCUUGGGAACACCAAUAGUUGU